RNAcentral lists this long non-coding RNA (1134 nucleotides) under Olea europaea (common olive). RNAcentral's name for it is "long non-coding RNA (OEUR_LNC007566)". Lineage: Eukaryota; Viridiplantae; Streptophyta; Magnoliopsida; Lamiales; Oleaceae. The record is from RNAcentral.
CCACACCUUAAUUUGCCAGUUGCUUGAAUUGCAGAUUCAAUUUUAUGCUACUAUACAGUUAAUAAGUACUUUGUUUGCCACCAUAUCACAAUUUUUUCCAUUUGUUUUCUCAUUAUCAUUGAUAAUAGUUUAUAUUGAAAUAAAAUUAUUGAACUGUUGUUGCUUUGUCAGCUUUAAUAUUUUUUUAUUUCUUUUUGGCCCCCCCAAAAAAAAUUCUGGAUCCACCCUGAUUGUAUAUAAAUGACAUGCCCCUACAAGUAAGUAAUAUUGAAAUUUUAUGUUAGAGAGUUGAUUUUAGGAUAUGUUUCCAAUAACGACUAGCAUAUUCAGUACUACAAUAUAUAUAGUCUGAGUUUGCAUUGUCAUUCCCCAACCUCUUCUUUCUCUAUCUUUGCUUCCAGAUAGUAACAUGAUUUGAUUGCCUGUUUUAUUACUUGAUAUAAUUCUUAAAUUAUGUGACCCUAGAUGCAUUCAUUCAGUGUGAAACUUGUGCUUUUAUCUUUCAUCGCUCGAUGCUUUAAAGAUUAUCUUUUCCUCUUGUUGAAUUUGCUUAACAAAUGGCUGAAAUAGCUAACUUUGAUUUUUAGAUAAGUUUCCAAGAGUUCAAGAACAAGUUACUUGAACCUGGUCUAGUGGAUCAUAUUGUUGUUUCCAACAAAUCAGUUGCAAAAGUUUACGUGAAGAGUUCUCCACCCCGUGAUAUUCAAACCAACGGUGACGCCAUUCAAGGCUCUGUGGGUGAUACCAAUGAUCAGAGAAAAGUGAGCCACUAUAAAUACUAUUUUACUAUUGGAAGUGUUGAAUCCUUUGAGGAGAAGCUUGAGGAAGCCCAGGAGGCAUUAGGAAUAGAUCCACACAAUCCUCUUGUUGAAUUUGCUUAACAAAUGGCUGAAAGCUAACUUUGAUUUUUAGAUAAGUUUCCAAGAGUUCAAGAACAAGUUACUUGAACCUGGUCUAGUGGAUCAUAUUGUUGUUUCCAACAAAUCAGUUGCAAAAGUUUACGUGAAGAGCUCUCCACCCCGUGAUAUUCAAACCAACGGUGACGCCAUUCAAGGCUCUGUGGGUGAUACCAAUGAUCAGAGAAAAGUGAGCCACUAUAAAUACUAUUUUACUAUUGGAAGUGUUGAAUCCUUU